UUGAAACACCAAUUCUCAUAUGAUCACUGAAGUUAAGCAAUGUUGAGCCUGCUAGUCAGUACCCAGAUGGGUAACCACUUGGGAAUACAAGGUGCU
Acanthosepion pharaonis is the source of this 96-nucleotide non-coding RNA. The record is from the annotation of a GenBank genome assembly. NCBI's taxonomy places the organism in Eukaryota, Metazoa, Mollusca, Cephalopoda, Sepiida, Sepiidae.